This 63-nucleotide small RNA is filed under the name Escherichia coli. RNAcentral's name for it is "partial RtT sRNA". It matches the Rfam family "RtT RNA", at positions 60 to 130 of the family's 130-position model. From Rfam's summary of the family: This family represents a bacterial cis-regulatory element known as RtT RNA. The record is from RNAcentral. Lineage: Bacteria; Pseudomonadati; Pseudomonadota; Gammaproteobacteria; Enterobacterales; Enterobacteriaceae.
AUAACGUUGCGUCAGCAACGGCCCGUAGGGCGAGCGAAGCGAGUCAUCCUGCACGACCCACCA